RNAcentral lists this ribosomal RNA (323 nucleotides) under uncultured eukaryote. Its description in RNAcentral is "partial 18S ribosomal RNA". It matches the Rfam family "Eukaryotic small subunit ribosomal RNA", at positions 1470 to 1796 of the family's 1831-position model. The record is from RNAcentral.
CCCUUAGAUGUUCUGGGCCGCACGCGCGCUACACUGAUACAUGCAACGAGUUUAUAACCUUGAUCUGACGGUCUGGGUAAUCUUCAAACUGUAUCGUGUUAGGGAUCGAUUCUUGCAAUUUUUAAUCGUAAACGAGGAAUUCCUAGUAAACGCAAGUCAUCAGCUUGCAUUGAUUACGUCCCUGCCCUUUGUACACACCGCCCGUCGACUCUACCGAUUGAAUGGUUCGGUGAAAACUUUGGACUGUGGCAUUGUCCUUCAUUGGACUUCGCCGUAGGAAAUUGUUUAAACCUCCUCAUUUAGAGGAAGAAUAAGUCGUAACA